UUGGACACAGUGGCUAAGACUGGAUAGGAAGAUAAAAGGCAUCUUUUAUCUUUUAAAAGACCUAGUAAUAGGUAUGCUUUAGGAGGGGCUUGCGCCAUAUUAGUUAGUUGGUAGGGUAAUGGCCUACCAAGACGAUGAUGUGUAGCUGGACUGAGAGGUUGAACAGCCACAUUGGGACUGAGACACGGCCCAAACUCCUACGGGAGGCAGCAGUAGGGAAUUUUCGGCAAUGGAGGAAACUCUGACCGAGCAACGCCGCGUGAAUGACGAAGUACUUCGGUAUGUAAAGUUCUUUUAUCAAGGAAGAAAAGCAAAUGGCGAACCAUUUGUUUGCCGGUACUUGAUGAAUAAGCCCCGGCUAAUUAUGUGCCAGCAGCCGCGGUAAGACAUAAGGGGCAAGUGUUAUCCGGAAUUAUUGGGCGUAAAGGGUGCGUAGGCGGUCUAGUAAGUCAGUGGUGUAAUGGCAACGCUUAACGUUGUCCGGCUAUUGAAACUGCUAAACUUGAGUUAGAUAGAGGCGAGUGGAAUUCCAUGUGUAGCGGUAAAAUGCGUAAAUAUAUGGAGGAACACCAGAGGCGUAGGCGGCUCGCUGGGUCUUAACUGACGCUGAGGCACGAAAGCGUGGGGAGCAAACAGGAUUAGAUACCCUGGUAGUCCACGCCGUAAACGAUGAGUACUAAGUGUCGGGUUAAACCGGUACUGAAGUUAACACAUUAAGUACUCCGCCUGAGUAGUACGUACGCAAGUAUGAAACUUAAAGGAAUUGACGGGACUCCGCACAAGCGGUGGAUCAUGUUGUUUAAUUCGAAGAUACCCGAAAAACCUUACCAGGUCUUGACAUGUUUUUGCAAAAUGAUAGUAAUAUCGUGGAGGUUACCAGAAACACAGGUGGUGCAUGGUUGUCGUCAGCUCGUGUCGUGAGAUGUUAGGUUAAGUCCUAAAACGAGCGAAACCCUUAUCGUUAGUUGCCAGCACGUUAUGGUGGGGACUUUAACGAGACUGCCAAUGAUAAAUUGGAGGAAGGUGAGGAUCACGUCAAAUCAGCAUGCCCCUUAUGACCUGGGCUACAAACGUGAUACAAUGGCUGUUACAAAGGGUAGCUGAAACGCAAGUUCUUGGCCAAUCCCCAAAAACAGUCCCAGUCCGGAUUGAAGUCUGCAACUCGACUUCAUGAAGU
RNAcentral lists this ribosomal RNA (1177 nucleotides) under Phytoplasma sp. Its description in RNAcentral is "bacterial SSU rRNA". It matches the Rfam family "Bacterial small subunit ribosomal RNA", at positions 150 to 1326 of the family's 1533-position model. Lineage: Bacteria; Bacillati; Mycoplasmatota; Mollicutes; Acholeplasmatales; Acholeplasmataceae. The record is from RNAcentral.